RNAcentral lists this long non-coding RNA (391 nucleotides) under Coturnix japonica (Japanese quail). RNAcentral describes it as "lncRNA (ENSCJPG00005013870.1)". The record is from RNAcentral. Lineage: Eukaryota; Metazoa; Chordata; Aves; Galliformes; Phasianidae.
AAAAUUAACCCACUAUCCCUACCUCUUUCAUAAUAAUCAGAAUUAUUAGCACUUAAUUAAAACUAUUAGUAAUUAAUCAGUGCAUAUUUUGUUCCAGAUUAUACCUCACAGUGAAAGUGGUGAUGAAUUCUUCUGCUUUUUCCUUUGUCCCCUGGUGAAGCUCAGUCCAACAUAAAGGUCUUGUCCCAUGGGACUUGCUGAACAAAGUAUCAAGUGUCAGUGCAGGGCUCCAGAAAGGAUGUGAUAAGAAUGUUACUUGCUUCUUAAUCUCAUAGGAUAAGGCUCAUUUGGGAUCAACUCCUUUCUGUGAAGUUUUUUCUCUGCUAUCUGGUGAGUCCUUUCUAUUAGAGUUAUUCCCAGUUAAACUUCAUUUAUGCCAUCAUAACUUUUC